UCAAGCAAUCCACCCACCUCAGCCUCCCAAGGUACUGGGUUAACAGGAGUGAGCCACCACACCUGGCCUAUAAUCUACUUUUUAAACUAAAUAAUACAUUACAUAUAUCUUUCUAAGCUAAUGAACAUACACAUUUUUGGUAGUGAAUAUCUUUAUGUAUUCACCCAGAUCACAAAUGAUUCCCUUAACUGUUUUCCCAUCCACUGAAAUAAGCUCAAGCUCUCAUAUUUGUAUUGCGUGACCCUGUCUUCCUGAUCACAGUUUUUUGAAUCAAAUUUACUCUGGGCAAUCAGAUUCUCUUUGCUGGGAAUUUGGAAAUGGGGUUGGUCUCUUGAAAAGAAAAGUAAAAUCAGGAAAAUAGAAUUACUUAAGUAAUCCUUCAAAAUUGGUAUUUUUAUCUUAAAAAGACUGAUGUGAGGUAUUGAAGUAGAUGUUAAAACUUUAAAAUGAUGGUUACAAAUAAGGGGGGCUGGAUGAAUGAAUGUACAAAGAACAACAACAUCUUAAUUCCUGGAUUCAUACGUUUUCAAUACUAACCUAAACACCAUAGAGUCACCUAGAGACAACUGUAAUUUCUCUUCUAUUAACCAAAAAACUAUUAAUUUUAAAAGAAUAUUCACAUUAAACAUGGAGCAAUCUGCUCUGUUACAGCUCCACUAUACCUGUGACCUACAUUCUUGUGUAGCAUGCACUAGACUCAUGUUCUCAGCCAGGCUAUGGUGGUCAAUGAUCAUAGUUAGUCUAUCACUGAUACAUGUUUGUCAGCUUGCUCAACCAAACAAACAUCUGUCCCUGUUUGAUCUUAACAUAAAAGUCCAAAGUUAGACUUAUCUCAAAUCCUAGUCAUAGCUAUUAAUGAUUAAGAGAGACAAUGUGAUAGAUCCUAUCUACAAAUAACUAUUUGGAAGGCAGAAGUUUGGAGAGACAUUAACUCUUUCAGCAUUUAUUUAUCAGAGUACUCUGGCUGAAAAAAAAUUGUAGAAGCUUCUCCAGAAUUAAAUGUUUAAAGAACAUUAUUUGAAGGAGACAGUAAAAGAAAAGGGAUGUAACAGGUGAAACAAGACUGACCAUGUUUUAAUAAGCUGGCUAAUAGAUUCGGGUGUACAUGUGCAGGUCUGUUACCUGGGAAUACUGCGUGAUACUGAACUUUGGGGUACAAGUGAUCCUGUCACCCAGGUACUGAGCACAGUACCCAACAGGUAGUUUUUCAACCCUCUCCCUCUAGUAGUCCCCAGU
RNAcentral lists this long non-coding RNA (1236 nucleotides) under Homo sapiens (human). RNAcentral's name for it is "HSALNT0357735". Lineage: Eukaryota; Metazoa; Chordata; Mammalia; Primates; Hominidae. The record is from RNAcentral.